CUGGUGUGUGUUUCCUGUACAGGAUGGAACAAGAUGCUCUCAUCCACUUUUACAGACACCAACAAAAAAACCUGGACAAGAAUAACCAGUGCCACAACCAUUACUUCUACUACCAAUAUGAAUGCUGCUGCUGUCAUCACUACUGCUCACACAUCAACAAUCAAACAAGCAUCAUUAUUCGGGGGCUUGAGGCAGCCGUGUGCUAGAUUGAUAGUUCAACAUGUCUUGAUGGAAAAGAAAACUCUUCUCAAUUAAGUUUAUUGAUCAACUUACAACCCAAACUGUCCGUUGUAAUCAUCCAACGCCAGUUUGGAGCCUGACUUCCUGUUUCAACUGUGACCUACAAUAUAAGAAACGGGGCUGCCAAAUUUCACCAACAGUCCGCAGUGAGAUUUACGUGUUUUGGCAGCGGCAGCCCCUCAGCCCAACCCAGUUUCCUGUAAUUGUACAUGCUGUUUGUAAUAGAACAGCACAAGUAGGAAUGAAAACAAUCUGAUAAAAU
Molecule: long non-coding RNA, 502 nt
Organism: Sebastes umbrosus (honeycomb rockfish)
Lineage: Eukaryota; Metazoa; Chordata; Actinopteri; Perciformes; Sebastidae
Exons: 3
Source: RefSeq, a predicted model, not a curated record